GCACUACUGAGGAAUCUCACAAUAAGACGAAACGGCCGUCCAGUGC
This is a non-coding RNA of Schistosoma margrebowiei, 46 nucleotides long. The record is from Rfam. NCBI's taxonomy places the organism in Eukaryota, Metazoa, Platyhelminthes, Trematoda, Strigeidida, Schistosomatidae.